AUUGAACGCUGGCGGAAUGCCUUACACAUGCAAGUCGAACGGCAGCACGGGUGCUUGCACCUGGUGGCGAGUGGCGAACGGGUGAGUAAUACAUCGGAACGUGCCCAGUAAUGGGGGAUAACACAGCGAAAGCUGUGCUAAUACCGCAUACGCCCUGAGGGGGAAAGCGGGGGAUCGAAAGACCUCGCGUUAUUGGAGCGGCUGAUGCCUGAUUAGCUAGUUGGUAGGGUAAAGGCCUACCAAGGCGACGAUCAGUAGCUGGUCUGAGAGGAUGGUCAGCCACACUGGAACUGGGACACGGUCCAGACUCCUACGGGAGGCAGCAGUGGGGAAUUUUGGACAAUGGGGGAAACCCUGAUCCAGCCAUUCCGCGUGAGUGAAGAAGGCCUUCGGGUUGUAAAGCUCUUUCGGCAGGGAAGAAACGCUCUGGGUUAAUAACCUGGGGUAAUGACGGUACCUGAAGAAGAAGCACCGGCUAACUACGUGCCAGCCGCCGCGGUAA
This 502-nucleotide ribosomal RNA is filed under the name uncultured bacterium. RNAcentral describes it as "partial 16S ribosomal RNA". It matches the Rfam family "Bacterial small subunit ribosomal RNA", at positions 30 to 523 of the family's 1533-position model. The record is from RNAcentral.